This 57-nucleotide transfer RNA is filed under the name Cricetulus griseus (Chinese hamster). It matches the Rfam family "tRNA", at positions 8 to 63 of the family's 71-position model. Rfam says of the family: Transfer RNA (tRNA) molecules are approximately 80 nucleotides in length. Their secondary structure includes four short double-helical elements and three loops (D, anti-codon, and T loops). Lineage: Eukaryota; Metazoa; Chordata; Mammalia; Rodentia; Cricetidae. The record is from Rfam by way of RNAcentral.
UAGCUCAUUGGUAGAGCAUGAGACUCCUAAUCUCAUGGUUGUGGGUUCGUGCCUCAC